This 492-nucleotide ribosomal RNA is filed under the name uncultured bacterium. RNAcentral's name for it is "partial 16S ribosomal RNA". It matches the Rfam family "Bacterial small subunit ribosomal RNA", at positions 29 to 507 of the family's 1533-position model. The record is from RNAcentral.
AGUGAACGCUGGCGGUAGGCCUAACACAUGCAAGUCGAACGGCAGCACAGUAAGAGCUUGCUCUUACGGGUGGCGAGUGGCGGACGGGUGAGGAAUACAUCGGAAUCUACUUUUUCGUGGGGGAUAACGUAGGGAAACUUACGCUAAUACCGCAUACGACCUACGGGUGAGAGCAGGGGAUCUUCGGACCUUGCGCGAUUGAAUGAGCCGAUGUCGGAUUAGCUAGUUGGCGGGGUAAAGGCCCACCAAGGCGACGAUCCGUAGCUGGUCUGAGAGGAUGAUCAGCCACACUGGAACUGAGACACGGUCCAGACUCCUACGGGAGGCAGCAGUGGGGAAUAUUGGACAAUGGGCGCAAGCCUGAUCCAGCCAUACCGCGUGGGUGAAGAAGGCCUUCGGGUUGUAAAGUCCUUUUGUUGGGAAAGAAAAGCAGCAGGUUAAUACCCCGCUGUUCUGACGGUACCCAAAGAAUAAGCACCGGCUAACUUCGUG